ACGGAAGGCAGCAGUGGGGAAUAUUGCACAAUGGGGGAAACCCUGAUGCAGCGACGCCGCGUGAGUGAAGAAGUAUUUCGGUAUGUAAAGCUCUAUCAGCAGGAAAGAAAAUGACGGUACCUGACUAAGAAGCCCCGGCUAACUACGUGCCAGCAGCCGCGGUAAUACGUAGGGGGCAAGCGUUAUCCGGAUUUACUGGGUGUAAAGGGAGUGUAGACGGCUUUGCAAGUCUGAAGUGAAAGCCCGGGGCUCAACCCCGGAACUGCUUUGGAAACUGUAGAGCUAGAGUGCAGGAGAGGUAAGUGGAAUUCCUAGUGUAGCGGUGAAAUGCGUAGAUAUUAGGAGGAACACCAGUGGCGAAGGCGGCUUACUGGACUGUAACUGACGUUGAGGCUCGAAGGCGUGGGGAGCAAACAGGAUUAGAUACCCUGGUA
RNAcentral lists this ribosomal RNA (434 nucleotides) under uncultured Clostridium sp. RNAcentral's name for it is "partial 16S ribosomal RNA". It matches the Rfam family "Bacterial small subunit ribosomal RNA", at positions 341 to 792 of the family's 1533-position model. The record is from RNAcentral. RNAcentral also lists the same sequence under 1 other name. Lineage: Bacteria; Bacillati; Bacillota; Clostridia; Eubacteriales; Clostridiaceae.